RNAcentral lists this unclassified non-coding RNA (307 nucleotides) under plant metagenome. RNAcentral describes it as "partial contains 5.8S ribosomal RNA, internal transcribed spacer 2, and large subunit ribosomal RNA". The stretch from base 1 to 105 matches the Rfam family "5.8S ribosomal RNA", at positions 50 to 154 of the family's 154-position model. The record is from RNAcentral.
GAAAUGCGAUAAGUAAUGUGAAUUGCAGAAUUCAGUCAAUCAUCGAAUCUUUGAACGCACAUUGCGCCCGCCAGCACUCUGGCGGGCAUGCCUGUUCGAGCGUCAUUUCAACCCUCAGAACCCCUUGCGGGAUCUGGCGUUGGGGAUUGGUAUCCAGCCAGCCCCGAAAUCUAGUGGCGGUCCCUCCGCGACCUCCCCUGUGCAGUAGCGAUACCUCGCAGCGGGACAGCGGUCUGACCACGCCGUAAAACCCCCAACUUCUCAAGGUUGACCUCGAAUCAGGUAGGAAUACCCGCUGAACUUAAGC